AAAGCGACAACAAUAAUCGAUUUUUGAGCGCUAUUGCUCAACUUGAACCAGUCAGUAUUGUAAAUAGCGUCGUUCAGAUCUGCAAACUUCAAAUUAAUUAUUAAUAAUAAUUAAAAAUUUCAAAAAAGGGUGGAAUUAUAAAUUGCAACUAACUUGAAGCGUCACCUGAUGCGCCGACAUGCAGACCAAAAAUAUUUGGAGCACCGUGGUGAUUAUGUAAACAAUACAGCUUAUAAAUUCGAAGAAACGUAGAGCAUCAUUCCGGGGAACAAAGUGUCAAAGCCGACGUCGACGUAGCAUCCUAUGAAGAAUGUUACCAUCUGUUGACUCGCGGUCAUUAAGUAAACGCUUGGCUGGGAAUAGUUAAAAGGCAACCACCCUCUGUAAGGCAGCACAUCAGAGAACGCCAACUAUUUUUCCGCAAGCAGCGACCAUCGCUAACAUCAUUGAUAAAUUGCUGGUGAAUUCAUUGACAGUGGAGCUCACUAAAACUAGGUCUAGAAAUUCGGACGCUUAUUGGAGAAGAUUAUAAAUGGAGUACGACAAUUUAAUCACCUGUAAAACAUUUUCUUUUGUAAAAAGCAAGGGUGAAACUGAAGAAAAAUGUUAUUUUAAAAUUGGCUUACUUGUUCAAAUGUCUCGAGCGAUAAAUUAACAAAAUAUCCCAGUGAAAAUACAACAGGCUUCAAUGUUUGUAAAAUAAUGAAGACAAGUGAUUUUUUUGUUCUUGCGUUUAAGUUUGUCCAAUCGGUACUGUACGCUGAGAAAUUUAGAUCUUCAAACUGGCUGUUGGAAUAGUAACAUGGGGAAACCACAGAGAAAACCCAUGCCAGUACAGAGGCUGGCAAUGUAUCGCACAUAUUCUUUUAAUUUAUAUUCACUGAAAAAUAUUGGUGCGUGCCGGAUUCGAACCCUGGUCCCACCUUUUCGAAAUGUAGGUAACGAGCCGAUUAAGCUAUUGCCAGCCUGAUUAAAAUAUAUUUAAAAAGAAGAAUUCAAAAA
This is a long non-coding RNA of Cotesia glomerata, 1002 nucleotides long. RefSeq lists it as uncharacterized. The transcript has 6 exons. The record is from RefSeq and is a predicted model, not a curated record. NCBI's taxonomy places the organism in Eukaryota, Metazoa, Arthropoda, Insecta, Hymenoptera, Braconidae.